Non-coding RNA from Sesamum indicum (sesame), 265 nucleotides. The record is from RefSeq and is a predicted model, not a curated record. Lineage: Eukaryota; Viridiplantae; Streptophyta; Magnoliopsida; Lamiales; Pedaliaceae.
CAUGGUGAGCCAAUUUGUCAUGCAGAAUACACCAUACAACCUGAAACUACACGAGCUGAUGCAGAUAGAUGCAAGAAUGCCAGAGCGAGGGCGUCUUAAGCUACGUGUCAGGAAUUUGAAUUCCAAGUCAGAACUACUUGGUAUUGGUCCAUUAGCUCACCUGCUGUCAUCAUCAGGCAAUUAAUUGCAGAAUACACUAUAGCACCUGAAACAACACCAGCUGAUGCAGGUUUGUAUAGAUGCUUGUUCUAGCAGUAUAUUGGUU